UGUUUGGGAUCAUCACUAGGAGUGAAUAUAGCAAGGUUAUGGAGGUGCAUGCUUCUUUUUAGGUGUGACAUAGUCUUUGAGAUAUCCUGGCAUUCUUCUAUUUCUUGGCCCUAACUCUUCAUGAUCAUCAUAACCCUCUUCUUCAUAUUCUCCAUCUUGACUAUAAAGUUCAUGCUCAUUCUAAUUUUGAUGUUUCUCAAAACCUUGAUCAUUUGCAUUAUUUUCAUUUUCCUCAUUAUUACUACCACGAUCACUUGAGCUAUCAAUUACAGGAUCCUCAUCAUUUUCUUCCUCAACACUGGUGUAAUAUAUAGGAUUCUCAGAUAUAACAUUCUUAUCCCAACUCCAUUGCUUAAAUUCGUCAAAUUUCAAAUCUCUGCUCACAAUUGUUAAGAAUAUAGAUAGUUAAUUAGUUAAUCAACUAGAGUUAGUUGAUAGGUUAUCAAGUUGGUUAAGAAGUUAGAAAGUUAGUUAGAGAGUUAGUUACUCCAAAUAGUCUUAUAAAUAAGCUAUUCUAUUGUACAUUUUAUUCAUUCUUUUAUCAAUCUACAUGCAUUCAAUAUGAAUUCUUAUGGGUAUUUUCCUCAUGAAUACUCUUAUGCACUCUAUCUUGCUGACAUCUAUGAUCUUUAUCCCUUCGAUUCCAUGACUCAUAACAUGGUAUUAGAGCGAUACCCGAGGAAUGAAGAUUGUGCUUCCGCUUACGAUUUUGAAAGUUGCAAAGAAGAUGAAU
RNAcentral lists this long non-coding RNA (733 nucleotides) under Trifolium pratense (red clover). Its description in RNAcentral is "long non-coding RNA (TPRA_LNC012915)". The record is from RNAcentral. Lineage: Eukaryota; Viridiplantae; Streptophyta; Magnoliopsida; Fabales; Fabaceae.